CGGCGAUGUCCGAAUGGGGAAACCCAGUGCAAUUCGUUGCACUAUCGUUAACUGAAUACAUAGGUUAACGAGGCGAACCGGGGGAACUGAAACAUCUAAGUACCCCGAGGAAAAGAAAUCAACCGAGAUUCCCCCAGUAGCGGCGAGCGAACGGGGAGCAGCCCAGAGUCUGAAUCAGCUUGUGUGUUAGUGGAACGGUCUGGAAAGUCCGACGGUACAGGGUGAUAGUCCCGUACACCAAAAUGCACAGGCUGUGAACUCGAAGAGUAGGGCGGGACACGUGGUAUCCUGUCUGAAUAUGGGGGGACCAUCCUCCAAGGCUAAAUACUCCUGACUGACCGAUAGUGAACCAGUACCGUGAGGGAAAGGCGAAAAGAACCCCGGCGAGGGGAGUGAAAAAGAACCUGAAACCGUGUACGUACAAGCAGUGGGAGCACCUUCGGGUGUGACUGCGUACCUUUUGUAUAAUGGGUCAGCGACUUAUAUUCUGUAGCAAGGUUAACCGUAUAGGGGAGCCGCAGGGAAACCGAGUCUUAACUGGGCGUUAAGUUGCAGGGUAUAGACCCGAAACCCGGUGAUCUAGCCAUGGGCAGGUUGAAGGUUGGGUAACACUAACUGGAGGACCGAACCGACUAAUGUUGAAAAAUUAGCGGAUGACUUGUGGCUGGGGGUGAAAGGCCAAUCAAACCGGGAGAUAGCUGGUUCUCCCCGAAAGCUAUUUAGGUAGCGCCUCGUGAAUUCAUCUUCGGGGGUAGAGCACUGUUUCGGCUAGGGGGUCAUCCCGACUUACCAACCCGAUGCAAACUACGAAUACCGAAGAAUGUUAUCACGGGAGACACACGGCGGGUGCUAACGUCCGUCGUGAAGAGGGAAACAACCCAGACCGCCAGCUAAGGUCCCAAAGUCAUGGUUAAGUGGGAAACGAUGUGGGAAGGCACAGACAGCCAGGAUGUUGGCUUAGAAGCAGCCAUCAUUUAAAGAAAGCGUAAUAGCUCACUGGUCGAGUCGGCCUGCGCGGAAGAUGUAACGGGGCUAAACCAUGCACCGAAGCUGCGGCAGCGACACUAUGUGUUGUUGGGUAGGGGAGCGUUCUGUAAGCCUGCGAAGGUGACCUGUGAGGGUUGCUGGAGGUAUCAGAAGUGCGAAUGCUGACAUAAGUAACGAUAAAGCGGGUGAAAAGCCCGCUCGCCGGAAGACCAAGGGUUCCUGUCCAACGUUAAUCGGGGCAGGGUGAGUCGACCCCUAAGGCGAGGCCGAAAGGCGUAGUCGAUGGGAAACAGGUUAAUAUUCCUGUACUUGGUGUUACUGCGAAGGGGGGACGGAGAAGGCUAUGUUAGCCGGGCGACGGUUGUCCCGGUUUAAGCAUGUAGGCUGGUUAUCCAGGCAAAUCCGGAUAAUCAAGGCUGAGGUGUGAUGACGAGGCACUACGGUGCUGAAGUAACAAAUGCCCUGCUUCCAGGAAAAGCCUCUAAGCAUCAGGUAACAUCAAAUCGUACCCCAAACCGACACAGGUGGUCAGGUAGAGAAUACCAAGGCGCUUGAGAGAACUCGGGUGAAGGAACUAGGCAAAAUGGUGCCGUAACUUCGGGAGAAGGCACGCUGGUGUGUAGGUGAAGUCCCUGCGGAUGGAGCUGAGACCAGUCGAAGAUACCAGCUGGCUGCAACUGUUUAUUAAAAACACAGCACUGUGCAAACACGAAAGUGGACGUAUACGGUGUGACGCCUGCCCGGUGCCGGAAGGUUAAUUGAUGGGGUUAUCCGUAAGGAGAAGCUCUUGAUCGAAGCCCCGGUAAACGGCGGCCGUAACUAUAACGGUCCUAAGGUAGCGAAAUUCCUUGUCGGGUAAGUUCCGACCUGCACGAAUGGCGUAAUGAUGGCCAGGCUGUCUCCACCCGAGACUCAGUGAAAUUGAACUCGCUGUGAAGAUGCAGUGUACCCGCGGCAAGACGGAAAGACCCCGUGAACCUUUACUAUAGCUUGACACUGAACAUUGAGCCUUGAUGUGUAGGAUAGGUGGGAGGCUUUGAAGCGUGGACGCCAGUCUGCGUGGAGCCAACCUUGAAAUACCACCCUUUAAUGUUUGAUGUUCUAACGUUGGCCCCUUACCGGGGUUGCGGACAGUGUCUGGUGGGUAGUUUGACUGGGGCGGUCUCCUCCCAAAGCGUAACGGAGGAGCACGAAGGUUAGCUAAUCCUGGUCGGACAUCAGGAGGUUAGUGCAAUGGCAUAAGCUAGCUUGACUGCGAGCGUGACGGCGCGAGCAGGUGCGAAAGCAGGUCAUAGUGAUCCGGUGGUUCUGAAUGGAAGGGCCAUCGCUCAACGGAUAAAAGGUACUCCGGGGAUAACAGGCUGAUACCGCCCAAGAGUUCAUAUCGACGGCGGUGUUUGGCACCUCGAUGUCGGCUCAUCACAUCCUGGGGCUGAAGUAGGUCCCAAGGGUAUGGCUGUUCGCCAUUUAAAGUGGUACGCGAGCUGGGUUUAGAACGUCGUGAGACAGUUCGGUCCCUAUCUGCCGUGGGCGCUGGAGAAUUGAGGGGGGCUGCUCCUAGUACGAGAGGACCGGAGUGGACGCAUCACUGGUGUUCGGGUUGUCAUGCCAAUGGCACUGCCCGGUAGCUAAAUGCGGAAGAGAUAAGUGCUGAAAGCAUCUAAGCACGAAACUUGCCCCGAGAUGAGUUCUCCCUGAGACUUUAAGUCUCCUGAAGGAACGUUGAAGACGACGACGUUGAUAGGCCGGGUGUGUAAGCGCAGCGAUGCGUUGAGCUAACCGGUACUAAUGAACCGUGAGGCUUAACCUU
RNAcentral lists this ribosomal RNA (2797 nucleotides) under Klebsiella pneumoniae. RNAcentral describes it as "bacterial LSU rRNA". It matches the Rfam family "Bacterial large subunit ribosomal RNA". Lineage: Bacteria; Pseudomonadati; Pseudomonadota; Gammaproteobacteria; Enterobacterales; Enterobacteriaceae. The record is from RNAcentral.